UACGUAGGGGGCUAGCGUUGUCCGGAAUCAUUGGGCGUAAAGAGCGUGUAGGUGGCUUGGUAAGUCCACUGUGAAAGUCCAGGGCUCAACCCUGGAAUGCCAGUGGAAACUGUCAAGCUAGAGUCCGGAAGAGGCGAGUGGAAUUCCUGGUGUAGCGGUGAAAUGCGCAGAUAUCAGGAGGAACACCAAUGGCGAAGGCAGCUCGCUGGGACGGUACUGACACUGAGACGCGAAGGCGUGGGGAGCGAACGGG
RNAcentral lists this ribosomal RNA (253 nucleotides) under uncultured bacterium. RNAcentral describes it as "partial 16S ribosomal RNA". It matches the Rfam family "Bacterial small subunit ribosomal RNA", at positions 524 to 776 of the family's 1533-position model. The record is from RNAcentral.